Molecule: microRNA precursor, 72 nt
Filed under: Bigelowiella natans CCMP2755
Lineage: Eukaryota; Cercozoa; Chlorarachniophyceae
Description: miRNA EPrBNAG00000013255
Source: RNAcentral
AUAUGAUGAUGAUGAUGAUGAUGAUGAUGAUACUACCAUAAGCGUAAUCAAUCAUUAUCAUCAGCAGCAGGA